This 270-nucleotide ribosomal RNA is filed under the name bacterium enrichment culture clone ALO1_GLFRUDD03G116U. RNAcentral describes it as "partial 16S ribosomal RNA". It matches the Rfam family "Bacterial small subunit ribosomal RNA", at positions 9 to 277 of the family's 1533-position model. The record is from RNAcentral.
GAGUUUGAUCUUGGCUCAGAUUGAACGCUGGCGGCAUGCCUUACACAUGCAAGUCGAACGGCAGCACGGGAGCUUGCUCCUGGUGGCGAGUGGCGAACGGGUGAGUAAUGCAGUCGGAACGUAUCCUGGAGUGGGGGAUAACGUAGCGAAAGUUACGCUAAUACCGCAUAUUCUGUGAGCAGGAAAGCGGGGGACCUUCGGGCCUACGCGCUCUUGGAGCGGCCGAUGUCGGAUUAGCUAGUUGGUGAGGUAAAGGCUCACCAAGGCGAC